RNAcentral lists this long non-coding RNA (2777 nucleotides) under Lactuca sativa (garden lettuce). The record is from RNAcentral. Lineage: Eukaryota; Viridiplantae; Streptophyta; Magnoliopsida; Asterales; Asteraceae.
UUGGUAUCAGAGCAUUGUUUAUAGUGAACUCAGUAUAUCGAACCACAUAAGAUAUACAAACUAUAAAUGCAUUGGGACUAGAGUCUCUGAUUUAAAGUUUUCAAAACAACUACACUUUUAGAAAUAAGUAGUUUCUUAUUAAAAGUAUACAUGCAUGCAUACAUACUAAGGUCAGCAUCAUUCUAGAACAAAACAAAAGUAAUGAUUGUUGGAUAUCACAGGUAAGCUCGGGGAUGUAUGGUCAGUCUUGGGAGUGGCAUAGCCUGAUCAACUAUGCUAGUCCGAGGAGUGAUUAGCACAUGCCCAAGAAUGGUUGUGAUAUGGCAACAAGUCUAAAAACUUACCAACACUACCACAAUAAAAUACCAUAGGGGUAUUUUGCGUUAUUAUAAUUACGUAUAUUAAAACUAAAUAGAUCCUUAAUAAUAGAUCCAUAGCCCCUAAGUGGAUACCCUAAGAUAUUAUAUAAUUUAGAAAUCAUAGACUUAGAAUUUGUGGUCAUUGCCUUACUUCCUUUUCCUUGUUUGGAUGUGGAUCUAGGGUAGGAUCACUAAUUCGAAGGUCUAUCAUAUCUUGUUAUAUGUAAUUAGUAUGAACUAUGUCAUUAUAGAAGUAACUAAUAAGGAUCACCCCUAUAAGUAAUUAAUUAUAGAGUUAGACGCCUAAUAAUUAUCUCUUCCACUCUUAUUCUCGCAAGUACAACAUAGCAAGAUCCUACUUACCGGAAGACUCCUACUUUCCCAAUCCGAACCCGAGAAGUGGUGAAUGGUUAUGAGGAGAAUCAAAAGCGGAACCGGAGGUAAUCAAUGCUCCAUGCAUAGCAAGGGUUUCCACGAACCGUUUCGGCUACAUCGAACCUGUGCCCCGUUGGGCAAUCGUGAUCGAGGGUUGAAUGUCGACAGCAAUGACAACAACCACCAUGUGGAGAUCAACGAGGGUGCUAUGACCUCAACCACGGGGGACCGACUGACAGAGCCCUCCCGGCGAAGACCCGGCAGAUCGCGAACAUCGGGGAUUAAAGCAGGUAGACUAUAACCCGAGUUCGGAAACUACACGCUACUACAGGCCCCACUGUCUCACGUACCCGAGACUCGGAAAUAGACUACUAUUUCGGAGACCAACUCUCUAUUUAGGACCUUAUCACCACUCAGGCAGAGGCAAGAGAGUAACAGGGUAGACACACAACAUUCAAAGAGAGGAGGAUUGCAGCCAAGCAUCGAUUUGCAAGGUGCAUCGACCUUGCCUCAUGCAUCGCAAGGGACUGAUCGUUGUAAGUAGAGUUCAUACCGCUCACAAGACCUUGUAAAUNNNNNNNNNNNNNNNNNNNNNNNNNNNNNNNNNNNNNNNNNNNNNNNNNNNNNNNNNNNNNNNNNNNNNNNNNNNNNNNNNNNNNNNNNNNNNNNNNNNNGUAGACUAUAACCCGAGUUCGGAAACUACACGCUACUACAGGCCCCACUGUCUCACGUACCCGAGACUCGGAAAUAGACUACUAUUUCGGAGACCAACUCUCUAUUUAGGACCUUAUCACCACUCAGGCAGAGGCAAGAGAGUAACAGGGUAGACACACAACAUUCAAAGAGAGGAGGAUUGCAGCCAAGCAUCGAUUUGCAAGGUGCAUCGACCUUGCCUCAUGCAUCGCAAGGGACUGAUCGUUGUAAGUAGAGUUCAUACCGCUCACAAGACCUUGUAAAUUAGGUUCGUGAGUAUGCGUUGGUACUACUCUAUUCUAGGCGUGAGCAUGACACUGUGAGUUAAGCGGUUAUGCUAAACAAGAGAUCUAGUUGCUAUUAAAACUUUUCCAUGCAUAGAUGUGAGGUAAACCUACAUCUAGUUCAAAAAUUUUCACCAAAACCCAAAUUACUACAGUCAUAUUAACAAGAUGGGCUUAGGACAUACCUAACAGACUCGAAGGACUACUUAGCCUUAAUUAUAUAACUAAGCAUACAUCAAUUGGUCAUAAUAAGGACCUAGCUUGGGUCAAGUAUAAGGGUUCACUUGGAUACAAAACUACUAAAAAUUCAUGGGUUUACCAUAUAAAGACUCCCGUUAAGAAUUGUUUUCAGAACGCCCUUAACGACCGAAUUACGUUACAAAUCGAUAUAAGAUAAAACUUAGUUAGAAACUCGUGACGUAUAGCCAUUCUAAAAACUCAUUAUCAUCUCACCCUUAAUCAUUUUGUUGAGAAGUUCCUUCUUCAUAGACUUAUGGGUGCGAUCAUACCAACACUAAUACACCGGGUCCCAUCAAAACUCCUCAGCCAAGCGUGUUUGGACACACAUGAUUCUAAGAUGAGUAAAGCUUAACGCCCGUAUGAAACCUACUCCAUUUCAAGAAUGUUAGCGGAAACGCUAGGAAUAGUACAGUAAUGUGCAAUAAUUUAUAUGCGUAAAUAUAAAUCGUAAGGAUGCACCUAAGAUAAUCAUUUCCCCUAACAAAGAUGUUUUUCAUCGUGAAACAGAGUUAUGUCUUCACUAAGAGGCAACCAACCAACUAGUAAGGCGCCAACUCUACAGAUACACGCUGCUACUUUUCAGGCUGCAGUCACGGCAACCAUGGUAGCCGUCAUGGCACAGUUCAAUGCUAACAACACCAGCAGAAAUGGAAGCGGUACUGACAAUACAGAUUGUGGUAACAAUCAGGAACACCAACAGGUGCCUGCCAGCAAAAAUACCUCGGGCCACAAACCUACGAGCAAGAAGAGAAAGUUUUGGAACAUGAAGGAGCGCCACCAAUCUCAAAGAUCCACUAAAAGACAACAACCUAUGGCCACCCCCACC